AGUGAACGCUGGCGGUAGGCCUAACACAUGCAAGUCGAACGGCAGCACAGUAAGAGCUUGCUCUUACGGGUGGCGAGUGGCGGACGGGUGAGGAAUACAUCGGAAUCUACUUUUUCGGGGGGGAUAACGUAGGGAAACUUACGCUAAUACCGCAUACGACCUACGGGUGAAAUCAGGGGAGCUUCGGACCUUGCGCGAUUGAAUGAGCCGGUGUCGGAUUAGCUAGGUGCCGGGGUAAAGGCCUACCAAGGCGACGAAACGUAGCCGGCCUGAGAUGAUGAGCGGCCACCCUGGAACUGAGACACGGUCCAGCCUCCUACGGGAGGCAGCAGGAGGGAAUCUUCCGCAAUGGGCGAAAGCCUGACGGAGCAACGCCGCGGGAGUGAUGAAGGUCUUCGGAUCGUAAAGCUCUGUUAUUAGGGAAGAACAAAUGUGUAAGUAACUAUGCACGGCUUGACGGUACCUAAUCAGAAAGCCACGGCUAACUACGUG
This 492-nucleotide ribosomal RNA is filed under the name uncultured bacterium. RNAcentral describes it as "partial 16S ribosomal RNA". It matches the Rfam family "Bacterial small subunit ribosomal RNA", at positions 29 to 507 of the family's 1533-position model. The record is from RNAcentral.